GAUGAACGCUGGCGGCGUGCCUAAUACAUGCAAGUCGAGCGGACAGACGAGGAGCUUGCUCCUCUAACGUUAGCGGCGGGCGGGUGAGUAACACGUGGAUAACCUACCUAUAAGACUGGGAUAACUUCGGGAAACCGGAGCUAAUACUGCAUAAUAUAUUGAACCGCAGGGUGCAGUAGUGAAAGACGGUUUUGCUGUCACUUAUAGAUGGAUCCGCGCUGCAUUAGCUAGUUGGUAAGGUAACGGCUUACCAAGGCAACGAUGCGUAGCCGACCUGAGAGGGUGAUCGGCCACACUGGAACUGAGACACGGUCCAGACUCCUACGGGAGGCAGCAGUAGGGAAUCUUCCGCAAUGGGCGGAAGCUUGACGGAGCAACGCCGCGUGAGUGAUGAAGGUCUUCGGAUCGUAAAACUCUGUUAUUGGGGAAGAACAACUGUGUAAGUAACUAUGCACGUCUUGACGGUACCUAAUCAGAAAGCCACGGCUAACUACGUG
RNAcentral lists this ribosomal RNA (497 nucleotides) under uncultured bacterium. Its description in RNAcentral is "partial 16S ribosomal RNA". It matches the Rfam family "Bacterial small subunit ribosomal RNA", at positions 28 to 507 of the family's 1533-position model. The record is from RNAcentral.